This 390-nucleotide unclassified non-coding RNA is filed under the name soil metagenome. Its description in RNAcentral is "partial contains 5.8S ribosomal RNA, internal transcribed spacer 2, and large subunit ribosomal RNA". The stretch from base 1 to 122 matches the Rfam family "5.8S ribosomal RNA", at positions 35 to 154 of the family's 154-position model. The record is from RNAcentral.
GAUGAAGAACGUAGCGAAAUGCGAUACUUGGUGUGAAUUGCAGAAUCCCGUGAACCAUCGAGUCUUUGAACGCAAGUUGCGCCCGAAGCCAUUAGGCCGAGGGCACGCCUGCCUGGGCAUCACACGUCGUUGCCCCCCCAUCUACUCCUUCGGGAUUGCGGGGGGCGGAUGAUGGCCUCCCGUGCGCCUCGUCGCGCGGUUGGCAUAAAUGCCAAGUCCUCGGCGACGCACGCCACGACAAUCGGUGGUUGCGAAACCUCGGUUGCCCGUCGUGUGCGGUCGUCGCGCAUCGAGGGCUCGAAAAAAUUGCCGGGCUCCGGCUCGGCUUUCAACGCGACCCCAGGUCAGGCGGGGUUACCCGCUGAAUUUAAGCAUAUCAAUAAGCGAAGA